RNAcentral lists this microRNA precursor (58 nucleotides) under Python bivittatus (Burmese python). RNAcentral's name for it is "Pbv-Mir-130-P1c_pre stem-loop". It matches the Rfam family "mir-130 microRNA precursor family", at positions 12 to 72 of the family's 83-position model. Rfam says of the family: The hairpin precursors (represented here) are predicted based on base pairing and cross-species conservation -- their extents are not known. Lineage: Eukaryota; Metazoa; Chordata; Lepidosauria; Squamata; Pythonidae. The record is from RNAcentral.
GCUCUUUUCACAUUGUGCUACUGAGCCCAACCCAAGCAGUGCAAUGUAAAAAGGGCAU